This 501-nucleotide ribosomal RNA is filed under the name uncultured bacterium. Its description in RNAcentral is "bacterial SSU rRNA". It matches the Rfam family "Bacterial small subunit ribosomal RNA", at positions 29 to 517 of the family's 1533-position model. The record is from RNAcentral.
AGUGAACGCUGGCGGCAGGCCUAAUACAUGCAAGUCGAACGGCAGCACAGCAGAGCUUGCUCUGUGGGUGGCGAGUGGCGGACGGGUGAGGAAUACAUGGGAAUCUGCCCAGUCGUGGGGGAUAACGUAGGGAAACUUACGCUAAUACCGCAUGCGCCCUUCGGGGGAAAGCCGGGGACCUUCGGGCCUGGCGCGAUUGGAUGAGCCCAUGUCGGAUUAGCUAGUUGGCGGGGUAAUGGCCCACCAAGGCGACGAUCCGUAGCUGGUCUGAGAGGAUGAUCAGCCACACUGGAACUGAGACACGGUCCAGACUCCUACGGGAGGCAGCAGUAGGGAAUAUUGGACAAUGGGCGCAAGCCUGAUCCAGCCAUGCCGCGUGAGUGAAGAAGGCCCUCGGGUUGUAAAGCUCUUUUGUCCGGAAAGAAAAGCGCCGGGUUAAUACCCUAGGUGUCCUGACGGUACCGGAAGAAUAAGCACCGGCUAACUUCGUGCCAGCAGCCG